Molecule: ribosomal RNA, 161 nt
Filed under: uncultured bacterium
Lineage: Bacteria
Description: partial 16S rRNA
Rfam family: Bacterial small subunit ribosomal RNA
Source: RNAcentral
GGAAUCUUCGGCAAUGGACGAAAGUCUGACCGAGCAACGCCGCGUGAGUGAAGAAGGUUUUCGGAUCGUAAAACUCUGUUGGUAGAGAAGAAUGACAUUGAGAGUAACUGUUCAAUGUGUGACGGUAUCUUACCAGAAAGGAACGGCUAAAUACGUGCCAC